CACUGUGUCAGCUCUUACUUCAAUCAGCUUUAAAUAAACAUUUGUUUCAAAUAGUGAAACAAUUAAUGUAAACACAAAGUAUCAAAUUCAGCCCUGGAAUGAGCCAGUACCUGCCUACUGACUCCAGCUGGUUUAUACCAGUGUUGAAGAUGAGCAGGAUUACGUCGUCUUCGUAACCGUUUUACAGGGAGCAGCAAUUCACAGAAAAUAAUGUUUGAGAAUGCACAUAAAUAACAAAAAUAAAGGAGCAUCUAUAACCACGUCUUCUAGAAGUUUUUAACCUCCGGCUUAUUUUCUAAAGAUUUGAGACCUAGCCUUUGCCUCUUAAUCUGGUCAGAGUAUGAAUGAAUGCAGUUCAC
Molecule: long non-coding RNA, 359 nt
Organism: Gallus gallus (chicken)
Lineage: Eukaryota; Metazoa; Chordata; Aves; Galliformes; Phasianidae
Source: Ensembl